CGGAAUUACUGGGCGUAAAGCGCACGCAGGCGGUCUGUCAAGUCGGAUGUGAAAUCCCCGGGCUCAACCUGGGAACUGCAUUCGAAACUGGCAGGCUUGAGUCUUGUAGAGGGGGGUAGAAUUCCAGGUGUAGCGGUGAAAUGCGUAGAGAUCUGGAGGAAUACCGGUGGCGAAGGCGGCCCCUUGGACAAAGACUGACGCUCAGGUGCGAAAGCGUGGGGAGCAAACAGGAUUAGAUACCCUGGUAGUCCACGCCGUAAACGAUGUCUACUUGGAGGUUGUGCCCUUGAGGCGUGGCUUCCGGAGCUAACGCGUUAAGUAGACCGCCUGGGGAGUACGGCCGCAAGGUUAAAACUCAAAUGAAUUGACGGGGGCCCGCACAAGCGGUGGAGCAUGUGGUUUAAUUCGAUGCAACGCGAAGAACCUUACCUGGUCUUGACAUCCACGGAAGUUUUCAGAGAUGAGAAUGUGCCUUCGGGAACCGUGAGACAGGUGCUGCAUGGCUGUCGUCAGCUCGUGUUGUGAAAUGUUGGGUUAAGUCCCGCAACGAGCGCAACCCUUAUCCUUUGUUGCCAGCGAUUAGGUCGGGAACUCAAAGGAGACUGCCAGUGAUAAACUGGAGGAAGGUGGGGAUGACGUCAAGUCAUCAUGGCCCUUACGACCAGGGCUACACACGUGCUACAAUGGCGCAUACAAAGAGAAGCGACCUCGCGAGAGCAAGCGGACCUCAUAAAGUGCGUCGUAGUCCGGAUUGGAGUCUGCAACUCGACUCCAUGAAGUCGGAAUCGCUAGUAAUCGUGGAUCAGAAUGCCACGGUGAAUACGUUCCCGGGCCUUGUACACACCGCCCGUCACACCAUGGGAGUGGGUUGCAAAAGAAGUAGGUAGCUUAACCUUCGGGAGGGCGCUUACCACUUUGUGAUUCAUGACUGGGGUGAAGUCGUAACAAGGUAACCGUAGGGGAACCUGCGGUUGGAUCACCUCCUUACCUUAAAGAAGC
RNAcentral lists this ribosomal RNA (999 nucleotides) under Salmonella enterica subsp. enterica. RNAcentral describes it as "bacterial SSU rRNA". It matches the Rfam family "Bacterial small subunit ribosomal RNA", at positions 546 to 1533 of the family's 1533-position model. RNAcentral also lists the same sequence under 1 other name. The record is from RNAcentral. Lineage: Bacteria; Pseudomonadati; Pseudomonadota; Gammaproteobacteria; Enterobacterales; Enterobacteriaceae.